Molecule: small RNA, 303 nt
Filed under: Histoplasma capsulatum var. duboisii H88
Lineage: Eukaryota; Fungi; Ascomycota; Eurotiomycetes; Onygenales; Ajellomycetaceae
Description: Histoplasma capsulatum H88 hypothetical RNA
Source: RNAcentral
AACAGGCGCAGCAAGGGAACACAGAAGUUGUAGGGGAGCCCGAGAAUCAAACUUCAGCGUUAACCUCGAGCAUUGGCAACGUCGUUAAAUAAAAUAAGCUAGUUCUACUUAGGGUGAUACACAAGUUCUCAAUUAUACAAUAUAGACGCCUAAAUACGAUGAGAGACCGGCGAAAGAAGUUCAGGAAUCGAACUUCAGCUUAGAAGAACCUUAUGAAGUAAAUGAUGACCCUUGAAGAUUUUAGGAGAGCGUCAUAUCAGGCAGCUGUAGAGUAAAUAUUGUGGAAAUAAGAGAUCAUAGAAA